UCCGCAUGGAAGGGCCAUCGCUCAACGGAUAAAAGCUACCCCGGGGAUAACAGGCUUAUCUCCCCCAAGAGUUCACAUCGACGGGGAGGUUUGGCACCUCGAUGUCGGCUCAUCGCAUCCUGGGGCUGUAGUCGGUCCCAAGGGUUGGGCUGUUCGCCCAUUAAAGCGGUACGCGAGCUGGGUUCAGAACGUCGUGAGACAGUUCGGUCCCUAUCCGUCGUGGGCGUAGGAAAUUUGAGAGGAGCUGUCCUUAGUACGAGAGGACCGGGAUGGACAUACCUCUGGUGUACCAGUUGUCGUGCCAACGGCAUAGCUGGGUAGCUAUGUGUGGACGGGAUAAGUGCUGAAAGCAUCUAAGCAUGAAGCCCCCCUCAAGAUGAGAUUUCCCAACUUCGGUUAUAAGAUCCCUCAAAGAUGAUGAGGUUAAUAGGUUCGAGGUGGAAGCAUGGUGACAUGUGGAGCUGACGAAUACUAAUCGAUCGAAGACUUAAUC
RNAcentral lists this ribosomal RNA (493 nucleotides) under Staphylococcus aureus. Its description in RNAcentral is "partial 23S ribosomal RNA". It matches the Rfam family "Bacterial large subunit ribosomal RNA", at positions 2428 to 2925 of the family's 2925-position model. Lineage: Bacteria; Bacillati; Bacillota; Bacilli; Caryophanales; Staphylococcaceae. The record is from RNAcentral.